AUACGUAGGGUGCGAGCGUUGUUCGGAAUCACUGGGCGUAAAGGGAGCGUAGGCGGAACUGUAAGUUAGAAGUUUAAUACAUGGGCUCAACCCGUGGUCUGCUUUUAAUACUGCGGUUCUUGAGUAUGGGAGAGGGCGAUGGAAUUCCAGGUGUAGCGGUGGAAUGCGUAGAUAUCUGGAAGAACACCAGUAGCGAAGGCGGUCGCCUGGCCCAAUACUGACGCUGAGGCUCGAAAGCUGGGGGAGCAAACAGGAUUAGAUACCCUGGUAGUCCCAGCCGUAAACGAUGGACACUAGUUGCCGGGAGAGUCAAUCCUUCGGUGACGAAGCUAACGCAUUAAGUGUCCCGCCUGGGGAGUACGCCCGCAAGGGUGAA
Molecule: ribosomal RNA, 376 nt
Filed under: uncultured bacterium
Lineage: Bacteria
Description: bacterial SSU rRNA
Rfam family: Bacterial small subunit ribosomal RNA
Source: RNAcentral